AGUGAACGCUGGCGGUAGGCCUAACACAUGCAAGUCGAACGGCAGCACAGGAGAGCUUGCUCUCUGGGUGGCGAGUGGCGGACGGGUGAGGAAUACAUCGGAAUCUACCUUUUCGUGGGGGAUAACGUAGGGAAACUUACGCUAAUACCGCAUACGACCUUCGGGUGAAAGCAGGGGACCUUCGGGCCUUGCGCGGAUAGAUGAGCCGACGUCGGAUUAGCUAGUUGGCGGGGUAAAGGCCCACCAAGGCGACGAUCCGUAGCUGGUCUGAGAGGAUGAUCAGCCACACUGGAACUGAGACACGGUCCAGACUCCUACGGGAGGCAGCAGUGGGGAAUAUUGGACAAUGGGCGCAAGCCUGAUCCAGCCAUACCGCGUGGGUGAAGAAGGCCUUCGGGUUGUAAAGCCCUUUUGUUGGGAAAGAAAAGCAGCCAGUUAAUACCUGGUUGUUCUGACGGUACCCAAAGAAUAAGCACCGGCUAACCUCGUGCCAGCCGCCGCCGCGG
Molecule: ribosomal RNA, 506 nt
Filed under: uncultured bacterium
Lineage: Bacteria
Description: partial 16S ribosomal RNA
Rfam family: Bacterial small subunit ribosomal RNA
Source: RNAcentral